UAAAAGGUAAAUAUUGCUAUUAAUAUACGUUGGAAAUAAACCAUUUUGCACGAACGUGCCAUUAACCUCGCAGUAUCUUAACUAUUUACUUACAGUUGUAUAUAAAACUGCACAACAAAUGUUGACUCCCAUUGGAUGUUAAAACUUAAUACCGAAUAAACUAAAAAACAUCAAAAACUGGAAAUAUGUUACUAAAUAUAUACGGUUUUAGUGCCAUAUUCAUAACUAUUUUCAUAGUUGUUUAUCAAGUUGAAGGACUAUGUAAUCCAAUUUGCGACUUGGCGUGUUAUGAUCCACCAAGCAAUUGCACUAGAACAGGAGGUGCCAUCAAAGCAAUGUCUUGCGCAUGUUGUGAUACAUGUGUUUAUACAGUUGGUAAAGGUGAUUCAUGCGGGUAUCAAAGAUCUCUGACUGUAUAUAACGAAUGUGGGUGUAACUUGCAAUGCAAUUCAAAUACUUUGAAAUGUGAAAAAGCAUCGCAGUCGAAAUAAUUUCUACAAAUAUCGAAAAGAAGAAAUAAAAACAAGAUUUUA
This is a long non-coding RNA of Dalotia coriaria, 533 nucleotides long. RefSeq lists it as uncharacterized. The transcript has 2 exons. NCBI's taxonomy places the organism in Eukaryota, Metazoa, Arthropoda, Insecta, Coleoptera, Staphylinidae. The record is from RefSeq and is a predicted model, not a curated record.